This 72-nucleotide transfer RNA is filed under the name Bos taurus (domestic cattle). It matches the Rfam family "tRNA". Rfam says of the family: Transfer RNA (tRNA) molecules are approximately 80 nucleotides in length. Their secondary structure includes four short double-helical elements and three loops (D, anti-codon, and T loops). The record is from Rfam by way of RNAcentral. Lineage: Eukaryota; Metazoa; Chordata; Mammalia; Artiodactyla; Bovidae. RNAcentral also lists the same sequence under 2 other names.
UUCCUGGUGGUCCAGUGGCUAAGGCUCUGCACUAGCAACGCAGGGGCCCAGGUUUGAUCCCUGGUCAGGGAA